This 460-nucleotide ribosomal RNA is filed under the name uncultured Sphingobacteriales bacterium. RNAcentral's name for it is "bacterial SSU rRNA". It matches the Rfam family "Bacterial small subunit ribosomal RNA", at positions 920 to 1382 of the family's 1533-position model. The record is from RNAcentral. Lineage: Bacteria; Pseudomonadati; Bacteroidota; Sphingobacteriia; Sphingobacteriales.
CCCGCACAAGCGGAGGAGCAUGUGGUUUAAUCGAUGAUACGCGAGGAACCUUACCUGGGCUCGAACGUAAGAUGACUGUAGGUGAAAGCUUACAUCUCUUCGGAGCAUUUUACGAGGUGCUGCAUGGUUGUCGUCAGCUCGUGCCGUGAGGUGUCGGGUUAAGUCCCAUAACGAGCGCAACCCUACCUUUAGUUGCCAUCAGGUAAUGCUGGGGACUCUAAAGGAACUGCCUACGCAAGUAGUGAGGAAGGCGGGGAUGACGUCAAAUCAGCACGGCCCUUACGUCCAGGGCUACACACGUGCUACAAUGGCCGAUACAGAGGGCAGCUACCUGGUGACAGGAUGCAAAUCUCCAAAGUCGGUCUCAGUUCGGAUCGGAGUCUGCAACCCGACUCCGUGAAGUUGGAUUCGCUAGUAAUCGCGCAUCAGCCAUGGCGCGGUGAAUACGUUCCCGGGCCUU